This 98-nucleotide small nuclear RNA is filed under the name Medicago truncatula (barrel medic). RNAcentral describes it as "sRNA gene3670". It matches the Rfam family "U2 spliceosomal RNA", at positions 1 to 105 of the family's 192-position model. From Rfam's summary of the family: U2 is a small nuclear RNA (snRNA) component of the spliceosome (involved in pre-mRNA splicing). Complementary binding between U2 snRNA (in an area lying towards the 5' end but 3' to hairpin I) and the branchpoint sequence (BPS) of the intron results the bulging out of an unpaired adenosine, on the BPS, which initiates a nucleophilic attack at the intronic 5' splice site, thus starting the first of two transesterification reactions that mediate splicing. The record is from Rfam by way of RNAcentral. Lineage: Eukaryota; Viridiplantae; Streptophyta; Magnoliopsida; Fabales; Fabaceae.
AUACAUUUCUCGGUCUUUUGGCUAAGAUCAAAUGUAGUAUAUAUUUUUAUCAAUUUAAUAUUUGAUAUGUGAGUCAUUGGCUCACAAGUUCAAUUUUU